UUUUUAAAUUAACUUUUUACUCCGACGUAAGAAUGCAGUGUUUUGAUGACCUUCGGGGGGAAUGCCGCGGACGGCAGGGUCGCCCCCAAAGCAACAAGAUGUGUUCACAAAGGGUUGGAGGUCGGACUAUCAAUCCUCACUCGGUAAUGAUCCCUCCGCAGGUUCACCUACGGAGA
Molecule: unclassified non-coding RNA, 176 nt
Filed under: uncultured fungus
Lineage: Eukaryota; Fungi
Description: sequence contains ITS1
Source: RNAcentral